GAUGAACGCUGGCGGCGUGCCUAAUACAUGCAAGUCGAGCGAACGGACGAGAAGCUUGCUUUUCUGGUGUUAGCGGCGGACGGGUGAGUAACACGUGGAUAACCUACCUAUAAGACUGGGAUAACUUCGGGAAACCGGAGCUAAUACCGGAUAAUAUUUUGAACCGCAUGGUUCAAAAGUGAAAGACGGUCUUGCUGUCACUUAUAGAUGGAUCCGCGCUGCAUUAGCUAGUUGGUAAGGUAACGGCUUACCAAGGCAACGAUGCAUAGCCGACCUGAGAGGGUGAUCGGCCACACUGGCACUGAGACACGGUCCAGACUCCUACGGGAGGCAGCAGUAGGGACUCUUCCGCAAUGGGCGAAAGCCUGACGGAGCAACGCCGCGUGAGUGAUGAAGGUCUUCGGCUCGUAAAACUCUGUUAUUAGGGAAGAACAUAUGUGUAAGUAACUGUGCACAUCUUGACGGUACCUAAUCAGAAAGCCACGGCUAACUACGUG
RNAcentral lists this ribosomal RNA (497 nucleotides) under uncultured bacterium. RNAcentral's name for it is "partial 16S ribosomal RNA". It matches the Rfam family "Bacterial small subunit ribosomal RNA", at positions 28 to 507 of the family's 1533-position model. The record is from RNAcentral.